This is a long non-coding RNA of Monopterus albus (swamp eel), 756 nucleotides long. RefSeq lists it as uncharacterized. NCBI's taxonomy places the organism in Eukaryota, Metazoa, Chordata, Actinopteri, Synbranchiformes, Synbranchidae. The record is from RefSeq and is a predicted model, not a curated record. The transcript has 3 exons.
AUUUUAUGUUCACUUGCCACUCUCCACUGUGAGGCUAGGGCACAGGAUGCCAGUAGAAAGCUGUUUCACAGCUCAAGGUUAACGUGCUUUGUUCUGUGGAAAGCAAAGGGAGAGAGAACAGGGAUCAACACAGAGAAUAGAUGUAUGAAGCUACUCUGGCAUGCUUUGGUUAACACCGAGUGGACACAAAUUAAGAGACAGAGAUAGAGACGGAGGGGAGAGGGGCCACUGAUUUGCUGCUGUAACAGGUGGUACAGCUUGUCCUUGAUGACCAACAAAGCAACUCUGCUACUGUGCCUGUGUGUGUGUGUGUGUGUGUAUGUGUGUUAUGUGCAUUAUGACAAUGUCCAAAUCGCAUGCAUAAGCCUUGGUAUGUACCUUAUUUUGCAUUCACCUCUGUGCCAAACAGAGCAACUGACACAAAAGAGGGGCAAGUUAACAACAGUACUUAUUUGCCUGGAAGGCCUACAUUUACAUUUUGACACCAGAUGUAUAAAAUUUGCUUUGUCACUUCAAAAGAAUAAGUGUGUACAAUGAAUUUAAAAGCAAACAAUUUUUGUAAUUAGAGCAGAAAAGACUACAGUUAAUGAUUAUUUGUUGUUAGUGAUCAUUCUAAUGAUUAUAUCCUUAAUCUUUUGGUCUAUAAAAUGUGGCUAAUUAGUGAAAAUGCCCAUCAAAGCUUCACAAAGUUUUCCAAUCAACAGUCCUAAAUCAAAUACUGUAUAUUCAGUUUGCAAUGAGAUAAAACAAAUAAAA